GUCGAGCGGACAGAUGGGAGCUUGCUCCCUGAUGUUAGCGGCGGACGGGUGAGUAACACGUGGGUAACCUGCCUGUAAGACUGGGAUAACUCCGGGAAACCGGGGCUAAUACCGGAUGCUUGAUUGAACCGCAUGGUUCAAUUAUAAAAGGUGGCUUUUAGCUACCACUUACAGAUGGACCCGCGGCGCAUUAGCUAGUUGGUGAGGUAACGGCUCACCAAGGCAACAAUGCGUAGCCAACCUGAGAGGGUGAUCGGCCACACUGGGACUGAGACACGGCCCGAACUCCUACGGGAGGCAGCAGUAGGGAAUCUUCCGCAAUGGACCAAAGUCUGACGGAGCAACGCCGCGUGAGUGAUGAAGGUUUUCGGAUCGUAAAACUCUGUUGUUAGGGAAAAACAAGUACCGUUCGAAUAGGGGGGUACCUAGACGGUACCUAACCAGAAAGCCACGGCUAACUACGUGCCAGCGGCCGCGGUAAUACGUAGGUGGCAAGCGUUGUCCGGAAUUAUUGGGCGUAAAGCGGCCGCAGGCGGUUUCUUAAGUCUGAUGUGAAAGCCCCCGGCUCAACCGGGGAGGGUCAUUGGAAACUGGGGAACUUGAGUGCAGAAAAGGAGAGUGGAAUUCCACGUGUAGCGGUGAAAUGCGUAGAGUGGUGGAGGAACACCAGUGGCAAAGGCGACUCUCUGUCCUGUAACUGACGCUGAAGGCGUGAAAAGCGUGGGGAGCGAACAGGAUUAGAUACCCUGGUAGUCCACGCCGUAAACGAUGAGCUGCUAAGUGUUAGAGGGUUUUCCGCCCCUGCUAGGUGCUGCAGCAA
Molecule: ribosomal RNA, 820 nt
Filed under: Bacillus aerius
Lineage: Bacteria; Bacillati; Bacillota; Bacilli; Caryophanales; Bacillaceae
Description: bacterial SSU rRNA
Rfam family: Bacterial small subunit ribosomal RNA
Source: RNAcentral